This is a long non-coding RNA of Alligator mississippiensis (American alligator), 1118 nucleotides long. RefSeq lists it as uncharacterized. Lineage: Eukaryota; Metazoa; Chordata; Crocodylia; Alligatoridae. The transcript has 4 exons. The record is from RefSeq and is a predicted model, not a curated record.
UAAAGAUGCUGCAGCUCUCUGCAAAAGUAAUAGGUGCGUCUGGAAGGACUCCUUGACAACAUUCGUGGCCUGCUGCUUUGUUCUUAACAGAAAACUUCAAGGUCGUAGAGUCCUAGGAAUCUUUGCUAUCUGGAGACCAUCACAACAGAGAUUUUCCUCGUGAGAAAAUAUCCAGGGUUGGAACGAACUGUACUAGUCCCGUGUUUCUGAAGUUGUUGCUCUGUACUCCCAUCAAAACAAACUGUGGCUUCCAGAGCAAAAACCGUAUUCAUGCAGCUCCUCAUGUUUCAAAGAUGUCCCCGGAUUGUAAUAGGUAUCCAGCAAAAUUCUCCCAGCCGCUGGAUCUGCUGAGCACAAGUCUUUUCUGAGCAAUGGUCUUUUUACCUGAAUUUGAAUGUGUGGGGAUAGUUUUGAACAGGCUUCUGUCAGACCAAAAUUCAGUUUUUGUCUACACCAGAAGGGCACCGGUUUAAUAGAAGAAUCCCAAAAGAUGCGUAGAAGAAAACCACUGCAAUGACUUUUGAGUGCGAUGUCCCAACUUCAAUCUCCUCUUCUCAACUGAUUUGCCCGUUUCAUCAGGACCCAAAUUCAGCUGGCUGUGACUUCAAGCUUGACUCUGCUUCUGGAUGUGCCCUUGAGAAAAAGUGAAUGUAUAAGCUGCACCAACCCAAGACUGGCCCCAAGAGAUGCUGUGACCGGUGGCGUAAGUAGGACCAACACGGUUACCAAGUACACCUCUGAAACAUGGAAGAUGCUGAAUUUCAGCCAUUUUUGGAUUUUAAACUUCAUUGCAGAACUACAAGGAAGUUUUCUUACCUCCCUACCUACCAUCUGACACCUUAAGGGAAGGAAUUCUACUUGAUCAACACAUCAAAGAGCUCCUCAACACAGCUCACAAAGCCACUCUCACGGGCCCAGAGGGACAGCCUUCCAUCUUCAGCUCUCUCUGUGCAAAAAUGAAGUUUAUUUCCUACCUAUGGGAACUUUUUACCAUCUUGUAUCAUCUACACUUUUCCCAGAGCCUGACAAAGGGACUUUGAUCCCAAAAGCUUGCAGAAAAGGACAGUUUUCUUGCCAUUUUCCAGUUGGUCUAAUAAAAGGUAUCAUUUUGGAACCAA